GCCAGGGUGGUGUAGCGGCAGCAUCCGGGACUGUGGAUCCCGUGACCCGGGUUCAAAUCCCGGCCCUGGCC
Molecule: transfer RNA, 71 nt
Filed under: Hadesarchaea archaeon
Lineage: Archaea; Methanobacteriati; Hadarchaeota (SeqCode); Hadarchaeia (SeqCode)
Description: tRNA-His
Rfam family: tRNA
About the family: Transfer RNA (tRNA) molecules are approximately 80 nucleotides in length. Their secondary structure includes four short double-helical elements and three loops (D, anti-codon, and T loops).
Source: RNAcentral